ACGAACGCUGGCGGCGUGCUUAACACAUGCAAGUCGAGCGGUAAGGCCCUUUCGGGGGUACGACGAGCGGCGAACGGGUGAGUAACACGUGGGUGACCUGCCCUCAGCUCUGGGAUAAGCCUGGGAAACCGGGUCUAAUACUGGAUAUGACUCCAUGACGCAUGUUGUGGGGUGGAAAGCCUUGUGCGGCUGAGGAUGGGCCCGCGGCCUAUCAGCUUGUUGGUGGGGUGANGGCCUACCAAGGCGACGACGGGUAGCCGGCCGU
RNAcentral lists this ribosomal RNA (265 nucleotides) under uncultured bacterium. RNAcentral's name for it is "partial 16S ribosomal RNA". It matches the Rfam family "Bacterial small subunit ribosomal RNA", at positions 29 to 294 of the family's 1533-position model. The record is from RNAcentral.